GACGAACGCUGGCGGCGUGCUUAACACAUGCAAGUCGAACGGUAAGGCCCUUCGGGGUACACGAGUGGCGAACGGGUGAGUAACGCGUGAGUAACCUGCCCUUCACUCUGGGAUAACAGUUGGAAACGGCUGCUAAUACCGGAUAUUCAGCUCCUGUCGCAUGGUGGGGGUUGGAAAGUUUUGGUGGUGGGGGAUGGGCUCGCGUCCUAUCAGCUUGUUGGUGGGGUGAUGGCCUACCAAGGCGUCGACGGGUAGCCGGCCUGAGAGGGCGACCGGCCACAUUGGGACUGAGAUACGGCCCAAACUCCUACGGGAGGCAGCAGUGGGGAAUAUUGCACAAUGGGCGGAAGCCUGAUGCAGCAACGCCGCGUGCGGGAUGACGGCCUUCGGGUUGUAAACCGCUUUCAGCAGGGACGAAGCGCAAGUGACGGUACCUGCAGAAGAAGCACCGGCUAACUACGUG
This 463-nucleotide ribosomal RNA is filed under the name uncultured bacterium. RNAcentral describes it as "partial 16S ribosomal RNA". It matches the Rfam family "Bacterial small subunit ribosomal RNA", at positions 28 to 507 of the family's 1533-position model. The record is from RNAcentral.